This is a non-coding RNA of Gossypium hirsutum (cotton), 145 nucleotides long. The record is from Rfam. NCBI's taxonomy places the organism in Eukaryota, Viridiplantae, Streptophyta, Magnoliopsida, Malvales, Malvaceae.
UGUUAAAAAUUUCGUUCAUUUUUACUGUUAAAAAUUGACGUGGUUGACAAAAUAACCAGAUAGUUACAUGUGACAUGCCAUAUGUACCUUAUUCUGAUGUAUAGUAACCAGUUUUUUACCGUAGAAAUGGAUGGAAUUCUUAAUA